AAAAUCUGCCUAUCAGAGGGGAAUAACAGUGAGAAAUCACUGCUAAUACCGCAUAUGCCAUAGGAGUCGCAUGACUCUAGUGGGAAAGGAGCAAUCCGCUGAUAGAUGAGCUUGCGUCUGAUUAGCUAGUUGGUGGGGUAACGGCCUACCAAGGCGACGAUCAGUAGCCGGACUGAGAGGUUGAACGGCCACAUUGGGACUGAGAUACGGCCCGGACUCCUACGGAAGGCAGCAG
RNAcentral lists this ribosomal RNA (235 nucleotides) under uncultured bacterium. Its description in RNAcentral is "partial 16S ribosomal RNA". It matches the Rfam family "Bacterial small subunit ribosomal RNA", at positions 121 to 354 of the family's 1533-position model. The record is from RNAcentral.